RNAcentral lists this ribosomal RNA (403 nucleotides) under uncultured eukaryote. RNAcentral's name for it is "SSU rRNA". It matches the Rfam family "Eukaryotic small subunit ribosomal RNA", at positions 567 to 981 of the family's 1831-position model. The record is from RNAcentral.
CCAGCAGCUGCGGUAAUUCCAGCUCUAAUAGCAUAUAUUAAAGUUGUUGCAGUUAAAAAGCUCGUAGUCGGAUUUUGGGCUUGUGUGGGCUGUCGGCCUAUGGUCGGACGGAAUGUGCAGGCCUUUCUGCUCGGAAUCCCCAUGGCGGUUCGCGCCGCUGUGGAGGGUACGGGCCGUUUACUUUGAAAAAAUUAGAGUGUUCAAAGCAGGCUAUCGCUUGAAUAGAUUAGCAUGGAAUAAUGGAAUAGGACCUUGGUGCUAUUUCGUUGGUUAUGGGACUGGGGUAAUGAUUAAUAGGGACAGUUGGGGCCGUUCAUAUUUCGUUGUCAGAGGUGAAAUUCUUGGAUUUACGAACGAUGAACUUAUGCGAAAGCAUUCGGCAAGGAUGUUUUCAUUGAUCAAG